AAAUGUACCGGCUCAACCGGUGAAUUGCAGCGCGAACUGUUUGGCUUGAGUGCACGGUAAGCAGGCGGAAUUCAUGGUGUAGCGGUGAAAUGCUUAGAUAUCAUGAAGAACUCCGAUUGCGAAGGCAGCUUGCUGCAGUGCGACUGACGCUGAUGCUCGAAGGUGCGGGUAUCAAACAGGAUUAGAUACCCUGGUAGUCCGCACGGUAAACGAUGGAUGCCCGCUGUCCGCCUUUUGUGGCGGGUGGCCAAGCGAAAGCGUUAAGCAUCCCACCUGGGGAGUACGCCGGCAACGGUGAAACUCAAAGGAAUUGACGGGGGCCCGCACAAGCGGAGGAACAUGUGGUUUAAUUCGAUGAUACGCGAGGAACCUUACCCGGGCUUGAACUGCCGGUGAACGAUACAGAGAUGUUGAGGCCCUUCGGGGCGCCGGUGGAGGUGCUGCAUGGUUGUCGUCAGCUCGUGCCGUGAGGUGUCGGCUUAAGUGCCAUAACGAGCGCAACCCCUUUUUUCAGUUGCCAUCAGGUAAUGCUGGGCACUCUGGAGAUACUGCCACCGCAAGGUGUGAGGAAGGUGGGGAUGACGUCAAAUCAGCACGGCCCUUACGUCCGGGGCUACACACGUGUUACAAUGGGGCAUACAGAGUGUUGGCUUAACGCAAGUUUGGUCUAAUCUUCAAAGUGUCUCCCAGUUCGGACUGGGGUCUGCAACCCGACCCCACGAAGCUGGAUUCGCUAGUAAUCGCGCAUCAGCCAUGGCGCGGUGAAUACGUUCCCGGG
Molecule: ribosomal RNA, 778 nt
Filed under: uncultured bacterium
Lineage: Bacteria
Description: bacterial SSU rRNA
Rfam family: Bacterial small subunit ribosomal RNA
Source: RNAcentral